AUACGUAGGUGGCGAGCGUUGUCCGAAUUUACUGGGCGUAAAGGGAGCGUAGGCGGUACUUUUAAGUGAGAUGUGAAAUACCCGGGCUCAACUUGGGUGCUGCAUUUCAAACUGGAAGUCUAGAGUGCAGGAGAGGAGAAGGGAAUUCCUAGUGUAGCGGUGAAAUGCGUAGAGAUUAGGAAGAACACCAGUGGCGAAGGCGCUUCUCUGGACUGUAACUGACGCUGAGGCUCGAAAGCGUGGGGAGC
This 248-nucleotide ribosomal RNA is filed under the name uncultured bacterium. Its description in RNAcentral is "partial 16S ribosomal RNA". It matches the Rfam family "Bacterial small subunit ribosomal RNA", at positions 523 to 769 of the family's 1533-position model. The record is from RNAcentral.